This is a long non-coding RNA of Aotus nancymaae (Ma's night monkey), 4113 nucleotides long. Lineage: Eukaryota; Metazoa; Chordata; Mammalia; Primates; Aotidae. The record is from Ensembl.
GCUUCAGAUGGGCUUGAGGUGGGUGAUAAAGAAGCCGAGGAACAGACAGGAUGGGGGCGGGGGCGUGUACACGUGGGAGCCUCUGUUCCUUCAGCAGCACUUCAUUCAGCAUAUUAUUAAAAGGAACCAGUUCUAGUGCACAGCUUCCAGGGAUGAGCAAUGGAGGACAGAAUGGAAUAGAGCAGGAACUAAGCAAGGAUGCUAAUGCAAGAUAUAGCCGUUCUUUUCCAGGAUGGCAGAGCCUUCAGAACCAGCAACUUGUACCCUCCAUCAUGCAGAGGCCCAGAGAGGGACAGAGACCUGCCCAACCUCCCAGCAAGGAAGCAGACAGUGAAGAUUCAAAACCACAGUUGCUGUCUCCUCAUUCCCAGAGGAGGUUCUAGAUGAGCCCCAUUACAGGGAUGCAUCUGCACUGCCACCCGCCAAGGGGCUCCAUGCCCAUGAUGCUGAUGGCCCGGGACCUUUCUUCCUUUCCAGGCUGUCCCUCCCUCUCGGGUCCCUGAGAGGACAAUGUGGCUAAGGAGCUUGGGGAGAAGACAUCCUCUUGAGAACUGCUUUCCAGCACGUCCCACCUUCUGAAACUCAAGGAGAUGAUUAAAAGAGAAAAGCCUUGCUCUGGACCCACCUGCAGCAUUAAGAACCAUGGGUUGGGCCAGGUGUGGUGGCUCAUGCCUAUAAUUCUCCUAGCACUUCGGGAGGCUGAGGUGGGCAGAUCACUUGAGGUCAGGAGUUCGAGACCAGCCUGACCAACAUGGCGAAACCCCGCUACUAAAAAUACAAAAUUAGCUAGGUAUGGUGGCACUGUAAUCCCAGCUACUUGGGAGGCUGAGGCAGGAGACUCACUUGAACCCAGGACGCAGAGGUUGCAGUGAGCUGAGAUUGUGCCACUGCACUCCAGCCUGGGCGACAGAGCAAGACUCUGUCUCAAAAAAAAAAAAAACAGAAGCAGCAGCAGCAGCAGCAGCAUGGGUUGGUGCCGGCAUGAACUAAAACAUUAGAUAAUAUGAACAAAGCUGCAUUUGUUGGACACUAUGUACCACAGACAUCGUUCAUUCACUCAGUAGAUAACUACUGUGUGCCCAUUUGCAUUUGCUGGGAACAUUUUCGUGACCAAAACAGACAAGAUCCUUCACCCAUAGACUAUUUCUGAAUCUUCUCAACUUCUCACCGGGUAAGUGCUGUCAUCCAUGAUUGAGAAAUGGCUCAAUAAAAUGACAUGCCCAAGGUCAGAUGGCAAAGACAUGGCAGGCAGGCAGCGAAUUAUCAAACAGGCAGGACUUCCAAGACAGGAGGAAACAGAUGGGGAGAGGGACCUACCAAGGUCACAGCAGUUUUUUGGGCAGCUGACACGUGCCUCUGCUGCCCACAUGAUGAGGCACAGAACCUAGCACAGGGAGUGCUCAGCCUGUGACCGUGAGCUGGAUGUGGGAGUCUCCCCAGAGCCCUCGGUGUACUCAGAGCAUUUCCUCUCUGGAGGUGGGAGGAGGAAAGCACAGGAAGCAGACUUAGCGGACCAGAGACGGGAUCCUAGCUGGGCCAGUCACUGACAAGUCACAUGGUCUUGGGCAAGUCAUUCCCUUAUCUGAGCCUCGGUUUUCCCAUCUGUAAAAUAGAGGUAAUGAUACUAAUUCCUACCUCAUAAUUGUGCUGCGAAGAUGAAAUGAGUUACGCCAUGCUGUACAUUACCCAUUGAUAGUGUCUCAGUGGCCUUUCACUGAAAAGGUGUGUGACAGUGUGCCACGCUCUGAAACGGCUCGCCCCCUGUGAUGGUGCUGGGGCUAGAACCUGGGCAACCUCCCAGCGCGUGCUCUACCGCAUCACUACAUCCACCUCAAGGGCCCCCUCCAGCCCCUCUCUAAGCCCCAUUUUGAGUUCCCAAGCUGCCUGCAGCCUGAACCACACAGCCAGCUGUCCUUGUCACCCAACUCUCAACAUCUGCAAGCUCAGCGUGGGGCAGCCAGGUCCUGAUUUGCUCCCGUCACUCCUUUCAGCUCCCAGCCCGCACUCUUUCUAGUGUGGGGCUCAGAAGUGAAAUAAAGGAAUAAAUACAUGAUGAAAGAGAGGCAUGUGUGUUUUGUGUGUGAGUGUGGGGUCCAGGAUCUGGGUGCCAGGGAUGGGGGGUGGUCACUUCCUAGGGACUUUGGGGCCUCUGGGGCCAGCUCCAGUCUGGAUCUGCAGCAGAUGCUAGGAGUAGCUGAUGGCCAGUAGCCAUGCCCUAGGCGAGGGAGCUGCCACUGAUACAGAGAGGACUGGUCUUUGGACAGAGGCCCGGCAGGUACCCAGGCUGGACUGUCGUUCCUCCAAGUCCUCUCGGGAUGCUAGUGGGCCAUCUCCAACUUGACAAGCAUUUCUAAUUCCAAGCCCAGCAAGCCUCCUUAGAGCAGCGGCCUCUGGCACCCACAUCAUUAUCAGAGAAUAAUCCUGUAUCCAGGGCCCACUAGGUGCCAAUCACUUUGGUGGCACUUUGUUCACCACCAAAGUGACUUUCAGAGAGGGCUCAUGGAGGCAAAGUGACUUGCCUAAGGUCACGCUGCUAGCACGUGGCCAAGAAUUCAGCAAAACCAGGACUCUUAUUAAGUGAGACUGACGGUCGUAUUAGAGAUGGAUCAAUUCCCUCAUCUCAACUCUAGAAGGAAACACAAGCUCAGAGAGGGCAAAUCCCUUGUCUAAGUCACACAGCCAGUUAGCUUGAGAGCUGGGAUUUGAUCCAGGCUUGGGGGUUGCCUGGGCCAUGUAAGAAACUAAACUGGGGCCGGAUGCGGUGGCUCACGCCUAUAAUCCCUGCACUUUGGGAGGCCGAGGCGGGUGGAUCAUGAGGUCAAGAGAUCGAGACCAUCCUGGUCAACAUGGGUAACAAGAUCGAAACUCCAUCUCAAAAAAAAAGAAAAGAAACUAAAUUGGAAGUUUCCCAUCACCCUCAGCCCUCCCUACUCCCAUCCUCUCUGAUGACGCUUGACAUUAUCCGUCACUCCCUCCCCCUGGGAACGCCCUCCUCCUCCAGUUUCCAUGGUAGCACAUUCUCCCCAUCCUCCUCCUGCUUCUCUGGCAGCUGCUCACUCCCCAUGGUGGCUCCUGAGCCAGGAAGCCAGGGGAUUCCCCAAGCCAGAUCGCCAGUCUCUCCUCUCUCUCCAUCAUGACAGCUCAUGUACUCUUCCCUGUGGGUCUCUAGCUCUGACCCUGAACUCUGGCUCCACUUUUAAGCAAUAACAGCCACUUACCAUGUACUUAGAGUUUACUUAUGUGCAGGGCCCUAUCCCUAUACAUACAUUAAAUCCUCACAACCACCCAUGAAGGAAGUCCACUUUACCGAUGAGGAAACUGAGGCUCAGAGAAGGAAAGCCAAGAUCUGAUUCCAGCCUUAACCACUACUUGUAUUGCAUCAAGUCGAGGUAUGAGGGCUGGGCACAGUGGCUCACACCUGUAAUCCCAGCUACUCAGGAGGCUGAGGCAGGAGAAUUACUUGAACCCAGGAGGCGGAGGUUACAGUGAGCCGAGAUGGUGCCACUGCACUCCAGCCUGUGCAUCACAGAGAGACCCUGUCUCAAAAAUAAAAUAAAAUAAAACAAAUGAAUAAAAAUAAAAUUGCUGGGGAUGGUGACAUACACCCGUCAGCCAAGAUAUUCAGGAGGCUGAGGUGGGAGGAUCACUUAAGCUCAGGAGUUUGAGACUGCAGUGAGCUAUGAUUGCACCACUGCACUUACACUCCAGGCUGGGUAACAGAGCAAGACCCUGUCUCAAAAAAAAAAAAAAAAAAAAGACAAGGAUGAAGGUGAAGAAGAGGAGAUCUGGAACAGUAGGACAUUUUGAAAUUUUGAAAUCGGGGCAAAAACUUCUCCCUCCGCCUGGAGGGAGAGAAAUGGAAAUUUUGGGGGAAACAGGCGUACUCUGCAGUUUUGAGAACCCUGUGAAGAUCUAGAAUUAUACUGUCAAUUCAGAGCUUUAACAGGCACCAUGCACAGUACAUUCCGAAACGUGAAGAUUCGGAGAGCUUCAGGAGGAACAAAAGUUCAUAGAAAAUUGCCCGUUUCCUUUAGAUUUUUCCAUUUGGUUUUAGGUCUUCAAAAAACCUCAUUCUCAAGAUUAAAAAAAAGAACAUUAAAAAAUGAAAAAAAA